RNAcentral lists this long non-coding RNA (2247 nucleotides) under Pan troglodytes (chimpanzee). RNAcentral's name for it is "long non-coding RNA NONPTRT003260". Lineage: Eukaryota; Metazoa; Chordata; Mammalia; Primates; Hominidae. The record is from RNAcentral.
CCCAUUUUCCAGGAAGGAACCCAGAGGCUCCUCAGCUAUACAGCAUGCCAACAGCACUGCCUCCAUCAGUAGCUCACGGAGGAAGGCGUUCAGAUCAGGAAUGGGUGAGACCUUGCAGGAGUCAGCCAGGCAUCCCUCGUGCCAGGGAGAUGACCCAGUGAUGACCCAGCCACUGCCCGUGGAGGGCGGGUGAAAGGUGUCACUAGGUGCGUCGGUUCUGCCUGCAGCCCUAGGGGCUGGGUCCUCGGUGUACUUUUUCCAGAGACAGCACUUGAGAUUGGAAGGACUGGUCAGCUCAGGCUACCAAUUGCUUUUCACUUAGCCGGGUUCUCUAGCCACAGGGUGAGGGUGAGAACACACACACACACACACACACAGACACACACACAGACACAUGCAAGGAGACACACACACAGAGAUGCACACACGCUCACACACACAGGGAGACAUACACACACACACAGAAACACACACGCUCACACACACAGGGAGACAUACACACAGACACAGAAACACACACGCUCACACACACAGGGAGACAUACACGCAGACACAGAAACACACACGCUCACAUACACAGGGAGACAUACACACAGACACAGAAACACACACACACACAGGAGACAUACACACAGACACAGAAACACACGUGCUCACACACAUAGGGAGACAUACACACAGACACAGAAACACACAUGCUCACACACACAGGGAGACAUACACACAGACACAGAAACACACAAGCUCACAUACACAGGGAGGUAUACACACAGACACAGAAACACACACGCUCACACACACAGGGAGACAUACACACAGACACAGAAACAAGCUCACAUACACAAGGAGAUAUACACACAGACACAGAAACACACACGCUCACACACACAGGGAGACAUACACACAGACACAGAAACACACACGCUCACACACACAGGGAGACACACACACAGACACAGAAACACACGCUCACACACAUAGGGAGACACACACAGACACAGAAACACACACGCUCACACACACAGGGAGACACACAGACACAGAAACACACACACACACAGGGAGACAUACACACAGACACAGAAACACACAUGCUCCCACCACACACACAAACACUCACAAACACACAGACACAGAUGCACACAUGCUCCCACCACACACACGCAAGGAGACAUACAGACACACACAUGCUCCCACCACACACACAAGCACUCACAAACACACAGACACAGAUGCACACAUGCUCAUACCCACACACAAGGAGACACACAUCAAAAGACACAUACACAUGAGGAGACAUACACAGAGACACACACAUGCUCACAUGCACGCAGGCACACACAAACACACAGACACAGGCGCGCACACACACAGAGACAGAAAUACACACACACACAGAGAUACACAGACACACACAUGCUCACACACACAAGGAGACACAAACACACAGAAGCACACAUGUUCACACACACAGGCACACACAGAUACAGACAGACACAGAAACACACACACACACAGACAGGAGCACGCAUGCUCACACACAGGCACUCACAGACACAGAAGAAGACAAACACACAGACACAGAGGCACACAUGCUCACUCACAGACACAUACACAGACACAGGCACAGAGACAGACACACGCAUGCUCACACACACAGGCACUCACAGACACAGACACAGGCAUGAUCUCACACACGGACACAGAGGCACACACACAGGCACUCACAGACAUAGACAUAGGCAUGAUCUCACACACAGACACGGAGGCACACAUGCCUACACAGACAUAUGCACACACAGGCACUCACAGACACAGACAUGAUCUCACACACAGACACAGAGGCACACAUGCCUACACAAACAUAUGCACACACACACAGGCACUCACAGACGCAGACACGGGCAUGAUCUCACACACACACACAGAGGCACACAUGCCUACACAAACAUAUGCACACACACAGGCACUCACAGACACAGACACACGCAAGGAGACACACACACAGACACAGACGCACACACGCUCACACACACAGGGAGACAUACACACAGACACAGAAACAAGCUCACACACACAGGGAGACAUACACACAGACACAGAAACACACACGCUCACACACAGGGAGACAUACACACAGACACAGAAACACACACGCUCACACAGGGAGACAUACACACAGACACAGAAACAAGCUCACAUACACAGGGAGACAUACACACAGACACAGAAACACACUCACACACA